AGAGGAGUGCUCGAAAGAGAACCUGCACACAGGUGCUGCAUGGCUGUCGUCAGCUCGUGUCGUGAGAUGUUGGGUUAAGUCCCGCAACGAGCGCAACCCUUGUCAUUAGUUGCUACGAAAGGGCACUCUAAUGAGACUGCCGGUGACAAACCGGAGGAAGGUGGGGAUGACGUCAAGUCCUCAUGGCCCUUAUAGGUGGGGCUACACACGUCAUACAAUGGCUGGUACAGAGGGUUGCCAACCCGCGAGGGGGAGCUAAUCCCAUAAAACCAGUCGUAGUCCGGAUCGCAGUCUGCAACUCGACUGCGUGAAGUCGGAAUCGCUAGUAAUCGCGGAUCAGAAUGUCGCGGUGAAUACGUUCCCGGGUCUUGUACACACCGCCCGUCACACCAUGGGAGCGGGUUCUGCCAGAAGUAGUUAGCCUAACCGCAAGGAGGGCGAUUACCACGGCAGGGUUCGUGACUGGGGUAAGUUGUACAAGGUACCA
RNAcentral lists this ribosomal RNA (487 nucleotides) under uncultured bacterium. RNAcentral's name for it is "bacterial SSU rRNA". It matches the Rfam family "Bacterial small subunit ribosomal RNA", at positions 1006 to 1501 of the family's 1533-position model. The record is from RNAcentral.